Molecule: long non-coding RNA, 637 nt
Filed under: Notechis scutatus (mainland tiger snake)
Lineage: Eukaryota; Metazoa; Chordata; Lepidosauria; Squamata; Elapidae
Description: lncRNA (ENSNSUG00000005837.1)
Source: RNAcentral
AUUAUUCGUCCUGCCUGGACCGAGAUGGAAACCAGCAGCACAGUUUUUGGAAGAACAGCCUUUGCCCAUUUUCACUGGCAAGGCCCAUGCACAAAAGGGAUGAUUGACAAGGCAGGCGUGGGAAACGUAUUUCUGCAAAGAUGAGUUUCUGCCAAUCAGAGGCCGGAGCAGAUUCCCCCCCACACACACACACCUCAGUCCGGACUGAACUUCAACCCCGUUGAAUCACAACUGACAAGCGCCUGGAUGCAAACUCUAUCAGAAGGAAGAGGCUGCCAUGACUAGAAUGUUCUCUUCGGAAAAAUAAAACGGCAGCUCUCACUGGCAACGAAAACAAGGAAGACAGAAAAGGACUUAAGAUUCCUUGUUAAAAGAAUAUGCAUGCAAACUACAAAGAAUUGGGUUUAGUGAUGUAAUACUAAGAAAAGGAGAUUCCCUGAUCCUAACAGAGAGACAGAGAAGCAAUGUAAGUAAUAAUAGCUACCCUGGUUCUUGGUCUUUCAAAAUUUUGGCCUUCUUUACAUUCCUGGCAGGUAAUAACACAUUGAUUCUCCUCCCUUUCAGUACACAGAAACCUGAUCAUGCCACCUCCCCGAAUCACCUUUAUUCUUCAGUUAGUUGGAAAGCUACUGCUUGA